GUAGGUAAUUUACAUUUAUUUGCAAAAAUAAAUAUGGUCUUUACUGUUUGACCUACCUACU
Molecule: transfer RNA, 61 nt
Filed under: Gyrodactylus gurleyi
Lineage: Eukaryota; Metazoa; Platyhelminthes; Monogenea; Gyrodactylidea; Gyrodactylidae
Description: tRNA-Cys
Source: RNAcentral